UCAUUUAUAUCAUCACUUCAGAUCAAAGUAUGGUUCAUUUAAAAUAUUAUUAGGAGACGAUUUUAGCGGACUGAAACCCUCUUAUUUAUUUUUCGAGGUUUAUUGUAAAUUUUAAGUUACGUUUGAAUAUAUCUACUUGAUGUUUUUUUCUCAAGUUUUAUGUGAAAAAAAUUCAACCAAAUUUGUGAGCAUUGUCUAAAAUAAGCUAUUGAAAUUGUGAGCAUGCUCGACUAACUGCGGAUAGGGUAUUUAUAGACCUCUUCAUCUAUUGUUGUGGAAUUUGCCUUUGCUCAAUCGACAUAUUGUGAAGCUUCUAAAGUAGGUCUUGCACCUACUCAGUAUGCUCCACCAACAGGCUCCAGGCCAUUUAUGGACCUCUUCAUUGCUGUUUGAGGGGUUACCCUCAGUUCUCGAUCUUCUCUACCUUUUGAGGUUUGCUGAGUACCUAAUUAGAGAUGAAGCAAGUGUAAUGAAGCAAACAAAGACAUGCAAGACUCAGUGUCAAGAAUGUUUUCAAAGGUAUUAGAGAUGAAGCAGGUGAAGAUUGAAAACUACCUCAAUAAGAUCAACAACUUGGUCUUUCCAAAGUCGUGAGUUUCAACUUUCAAGUUAUCUUUUUGUAAAAGUGACUUAUGUCACCAAUUGUAACUAAAGUUAGGAUUUGGACUUCAUUUAUGUAAAAGUUAGGUAAAUCCUAACUUGUCCCUUAAAAAGGUAGUUAUUAGAAGUGGGUACCUAAGGUAGUUAUCCUAAGUGGAUACGUAAGCUGGUUAUCCUAAUUGGUUGCCUAAAGUGGUUUUUCUAAGUGGUUACAAAGUAGUUAUCCUCUAAAGCCUAUAAAUACAUGGCUAUUCCAUUUGUAAAGGGAGACUUUUAUAGGAGGGGAAACUCUAGAGAAAUUCCUAGAGAGACAUUUUGAUGAUUUUUGGUGUUUACACUUUGUACCUAAGAGCUUUUGAACUUGUAUAUUUUCAAAAGGAUAAUAAAGAAUGCAUUUGAUUCA
Long non-coding RNA from Cryptomeria japonica (Japanese cedar), 1003 nucleotides. RefSeq lists it as uncharacterized. The transcript has 2 exons. The record is from RefSeq and is a predicted model, not a curated record. Lineage: Eukaryota; Viridiplantae; Streptophyta; Pinopsida; Cupressales; Cupressaceae.